RNAcentral lists this long non-coding RNA (1068 nucleotides) under Rattus norvegicus (Norway rat). RNAcentral's name for it is "long non-coding RNA NONRATT028445". The record is from RNAcentral. Lineage: Eukaryota; Metazoa; Chordata; Mammalia; Rodentia; Muridae.
ACUGGGAUCAUUGUCACUUGAAAAAAAAUUACUGUGGUUGUGGGAGAAAGGUCUAGAUCUGUGCCACGAUAGAUAUGCAUUUCGAAUGUACGCCAUGUCUCCAUUUCAUUUGAGUUUUCCCUUUGUUUUCCUCACCACCAAAGAAUCUCAAAUGUAAAACUUCAUAUUGGGUUCUAACCACUGACUCAAAAGUCCAUUCUGAUAUAUGCAGUCAUUUUGAAUUUGGUCCUGUGCCUUCUCCGGAUCCCUUCCCUUCCCUUCUGCCUCCCUCACCCGCUCCCUCAGCCAUCCAUAGAGAGUUUGUAGGUGUUUCCAGGGAUGGAGGGGAUAUAAACAUUUGACCUCUCUCUCCAUCAGCAGAUUUGUUCAUUUGCUUUCUCUGUGAAACGCCAUGAUUGUCUAAACAAACCCCCCAGCCCUGAACCCCUCUGUAUCACAUCAACGGCCACUUGAAAGUGCUGCUGCCUGCCUUGUGGCCUCCACCCACCCUUCAGCCUGACUUGUAGGCACCGAUGUCCAACCCGUCGUGACUUGUGCUGUGUGAACAACCUCACUGAGGAUUUCCUCCCAGCGGAAAAGCAGCGAGCUCUGCGACUAUCCCAAAGCUAUGCCUCUGAACACGUUUUCUAUAUGCAAGAUUUGUGAAAACCGCCUCCUUCCCGUGCAGCGUGUCCCUCUGAAGUGCUUAGUUUCUUUUAACGAGAAGUAUCAUUCUUGCAUUGUGAUAGGGUCUCCGUUUACCUGAGGGUUGUUUGGAAAAUAAGAGCCAAUUUUUCUUAGGAUAUGUAAGUACAUUAAACGAGCAUUCUGACCUGUAGAUACAUAGUGUGCCAUGCGGCCAUAGCUCCUGGUGUCAAAUGCUAGGAGUAAAGAGUCUUCUUACAAAUUACUUUUCUCCUCUUUCCUGUCACCCUCUUUUUCACUAUUGUUUUUCCCCCAGACUGGAAUUUCCUCAGCCUUUUCUUGUCUUGCUUUGAAGUUUUGUUCAAUGUUCCUCCCCUCCUACCACUUCCACUUAAAUAAAGUCUUUAAGUAGCUGAAAGAUUAACAGUCUGGUGGGAGGCAAAG